Molecule: ribosomal RNA, 261 nt
Filed under: uncultured prokaryote
Description: partial 16S ribosomal RNA
Rfam family: Bacterial small subunit ribosomal RNA
Source: RNAcentral
UUCAGAGGUCUCGAGCGUUGUUCGGAUUUACUGGGCGUAAAGGGAGCGUAGGCGGCCGGGUGUGUCGAAUGUGAAAGCCCACAACUCAACUGUGGAAUGGCAUUCGAAACUACCUGGCUAGAGUACUGGAGAGGAGAGCGGAAUUCUUGGUGUAGCGGUGAAAUGCGUAGAUAUCAAGAGGAACACCGGUGGCGAAGGCGGCUCUCUAGACAGAUACUGACGCUGAGGCUCUAAAGUUAGGGGAGCAAACAGGAUUAGAUA